RNAcentral lists this ribosomal RNA (253 nucleotides) under uncultured bacterium. Its description in RNAcentral is "partial 16S ribosomal RNA". It matches the Rfam family "Bacterial small subunit ribosomal RNA", at positions 524 to 776 of the family's 1533-position model. The record is from RNAcentral.
UAAAGAGGGGGCAAGCGUUGUUCGGAAUUACUGGGCGUAAAGGGCGCGUAGGCGGCCUUCUAAGUCGAACGUGAAAUCCCUGGGCUCAACCCAGGAACUGCGUCCGAUACUGGAAGGCUUGAAUCCGGGAGAGGGAUGCGGAAUUCCAGGUGUAGCGGUGAAAUGCGUAGAUAUCUGGAGGAACACCGGUGGCGAAGGCGGCAUCCUGGACCGGUAUUGACGCUGAGGCGCGAAAGCCAGGGGAGCAAACGGG